CCUUCGAUAGCUCAGUUGGUAGAGCGGUGGACUGUAGAAUGAUUAAAUUAAUUCCUCGUCGAAAGUUGAGAACAUCAAACGCACAGUUAUCCAUAGGUCACUGGUUCAAAUCCGGUUCGAAGGA
RNAcentral lists this transfer RNA (124 nucleotides) under Aedes aegypti (yellow fever mosquito). It matches the Rfam family "tRNA". From Rfam's summary of the family: Transfer RNA (tRNA) molecules are approximately 80 nucleotides in length. Their secondary structure includes four short double-helical elements and three loops (D, anti-codon, and T loops). The record is from Rfam by way of RNAcentral. Lineage: Eukaryota; Metazoa; Arthropoda; Insecta; Diptera; Culicidae.